ACACCUGUGGUGAAGUGGUUAUCAUGCUUGCCUUCCAAUUGUCAGAGUCGUGAAAGUUACUUGUAGCAAGCGGCACGGGUUCGAUUCCCGUCGGGUGUA
This 99-nucleotide transfer RNA is filed under the name Laccaria amethystina LaAM-08-1. It matches the Rfam family "tRNA". From Rfam's summary of the family: Transfer RNA (tRNA) molecules are approximately 80 nucleotides in length. The record is from Rfam by way of RNAcentral. Lineage: Eukaryota; Fungi; Basidiomycota; Agaricomycetes; Agaricales; Hydnangiaceae.